This 253-nucleotide ribosomal RNA is filed under the name uncultured bacterium. RNAcentral's name for it is "partial 16S ribosomal RNA". It matches the Rfam family "Bacterial small subunit ribosomal RNA", at positions 524 to 776 of the family's 1533-position model. The record is from RNAcentral.
GACAGAGGAGCCAAGCGUUGUCCGGAUUCACUGGGCGUAAAGGGUGCGUAGGUGGUGGGGUAAGUCUCGUGUGAAAGCUCGCAGCUUAACUGCGAAAAGUCACGGGAUACUAUUCCGCUGGAGGCUUGGAGGGGGGACUGGAAUACUUGGUGUAGCAGUGAAAUGCGUAGAUAUCAAGUGGAACACCAGUGGCGAAGGCGAGUCCCUGGACAAGACCUGACACUGAGGCACGAAAGCCAGGGGAGCAAACAGG